This 29-nucleotide non-coding RNA is filed under the name Homo sapiens (human). Lineage: Eukaryota; Metazoa; Chordata; Mammalia; Primates; Hominidae. The record is from RNAcentral.
UGAGAAGGAAAGUGACUUCGUAUUUGAAA